Molecule: ribosomal RNA, 464 nt
Filed under: uncultured bacterium
Lineage: Bacteria
Description: partial 16S ribosomal RNA
Rfam family: Bacterial small subunit ribosomal RNA
Source: RNAcentral
CUACGGGCGGCACCAGUGGGGAAUAUUGCACAAUGGGCGCAAGCCUGAUGCAGCCAUGCCGCGUGUAUGAAGAAGGCCUUCGGGUUGUAAAGUACUUUCAGCGGGGAGGAAGGGAGUAAAGUUAAUACCUUUGCUCAUUGACGUUACCCGCAGAAGAAGCACCGGCGAACUCCGUGCCAGCAGCCGCGGUAAUACGGAGGGUGCAAGCGUUAAUCGGAAUUACUGGGCGUAAAGCGCACGCAGGCGGUUUGUUAAGUCAGAUGUGAAAUCCCCGGGCUCAACCUGGGAACUGCAUCUGAUACUGGCAAGCGUGAGUCUCGUAGAGGGGGGUAGAAUUCCAGGUGUAGCGGUGAAAUGCGUAGAGAUCUGGAGGAAUACCGGUGGCGAAGGCGGCCCCCUGGACGAAGACUGACGCUCAGGUGCGAAAGCGUGGGGAGCAAACAGGAUUAGAUACCCGCGUAGUC